Molecule: ribosomal RNA, 253 nt
Filed under: uncultured bacterium
Lineage: Bacteria
Description: partial 16S ribosomal RNA
Rfam family: Archaeal small subunit ribosomal RNA
Source: RNAcentral
UACCAGCACCCCGAGUGGUCGGGACGAUUAUUGGGCCUAAAGCAUCCGUAGCCGGUUCUGCAAGUCCCCCGUUAAAUCCAGCUGCUCAACAGAUGGGCCGCGGAGGAUACUCCAGAGCUAGGAGGCAGGAGAGGCAAGCGGUACUCAGUGGGUAGGGGUAAAAUCCGUUGAUAAUAGAAGGAAGAUCAAAGGCGAAGGCAAUUAUCUAGGUAUAUACUGACACUGAGAAACGAAAGCUUGGGUAGCGAACGGG